UUAAGCGAUUAAGCGUACACGGUGGAUGCCCUGGCAGUCAGAGGCGAUGAAGGACGUGCUAAUCUGCGAAAAGCGUCGGUAAGGUGAUAUGAACCGUUAUAACCGGCGAUGUCCGAAUGGGGAAACCCAGUGUGAUUCGUCACACUAUCGUUAACUGAAUACAUAGGUUAACGAGGCGAACCGGGGGAACUGAAACAUCUAAGUACCCCGAGGAAAAGAAAUCAACCGAGAUUCCCCCAGUAGCGGCGAGCGAACGGGGAGCAGCCCAGAGUCUGAAUCAGCUUGUGUGUUAGUGGAACGGUCUGGAAAGUCCGACGGUACAGGGUGAUAGUCCCGUACACCAAAAUGCACAGGCUGUGAACUCGAAGAGUAGGGCGGGACACGUGGUAUCCUGUCUGAAUAUGGGGGGACCAUCCUCCAAGGCUAAAUACUCCUGACUGACCGAUAGUGAACCAGUACCGUGAGGGAAAGGCGAAAAGAACCCCGGCGAGGGGAGUGAAAAAGAACCUGAAACCGUGUACGUACAAGCAGUGGGAGCACCUUCGGGUGUGACUGCGUACCUUUUGUAUAAUGGGUCAGCGACUUAUAUUCUGUAGCAAGGUUAACCGUAUAGGGGAGCCGCAGGGAAACCGAGUCUUAACUGGGCGUUAAGUUGCAGGGUAUAGACCCGAAACCCGGUGAUCUAGCCAUGGGCAGGUUGAAGGUUGGGUAACACUAACUGGAGGACCGAACCGACUAAUGUUGAAAAAUUAGCGGAUGACUUGUGGCUGGGGGUGAAAGGCCAAUCAAACCGGGAGAUAGCUGGUUCUCCCCGAAAGCUAUUUAGGUAGCGCCUCGUGAACUCAUCUUCGGGGGUAGAGCACUGUUUCGGCUAGGGGGUCAUCCCGACUUACCAACCCGAUGCAAACUACGAAUACCGAAGAAUGUUAUCACGGGAGACACACGGCGGGUGCUAACGUCCGUCGUGAAGAGGGAAACAACCCAGACCGCCAGCUAAGGUCCCAAAGUCAUGGUUAAGUGGGAAACGAUGUGGGAAGGCACAGACAGCCAGGAUGUUGGCUUAGAAGCAGCCAUCAUUUAAAGAAAGCGUAAUAGCUCACUGGUCGAGUCGGCCUGCGCGGAAGAUGUAACGGGGCUAAACCAUGCACCGAAGCUGCGGCAGCGACACUAUGUGUUGUUGGGUAGGGGAGCGUUCUGUAAGCCUGCGAAGGUGACCUGUGAGGGUUGCUGGAGGUAUCAGAAGUGCGAAUGCUGACAUAAGUAACGAUAAAGCGGGUGAAAAGCCCGCUCGCCGGAAGACCAAGGGUUCCUGUCCAACGUUAAUCGGGGCAGGGUGAGUCGACCCCUAAGGCGAGGCCGAAAGGCGUAGUCGAUGGGAAACAGGUUAAUAUUCCUGUACUUGGUGUUACUGCGAAGGGGGGACGGAGAAGGCUAUGUUAGCCGGGCGACGGUUGUCCCGGUUUAAGCAUGUAGGCUGAUUGUCCAGGCAAAUCCGGAUAAUCAAGGCUGAGGUGUGAUGACGAGGCACUACGGUGCUGAAGUAACAAAUGCCCUGCUUCCAGGAAAAGCCUCUAAGCAUCAGGUAACAUCAAAUCGUACCCCAAACCGACACAGGUGGUCAGGUAGAGAAUACCAAGGCGCUUGAGAGAACUCGGGUGAAGGAACUAGGCAAAAUGGUGCCGUAACUUCGGGAGAAGGCACGCUGGUGUGUAGGUGAAGCCCCUGCGGGUGGAGCUGAGACCAGUCGAAGAUACCAGCUGGCUGCAACUGUUUAUUAAAAACACAGCACUGUGCAAACACGAAAGUGGACGUAUACGGUGUGACGCCUGCCCGGUGCCGGAAGGUUAAUUGAUGGGGUUAUCCGUAAGGAGAAGCUCUUGAUCGAAGCCCCGGUAAACGGCGGCCGUAACUAUAACGGUCCUAAGGUAGCGAAAUUCCUUGUCGGGUAAGUUCCGACCUGCACGAAUGGCGUAAUGAUGGCCAGGCUGUCUCCACCCGAGACUCAGUGAAAUUGAACUCGCUGUGAAGAUGCAGUGUACCCGCGGCAAGACGGAAAGACCCCGUGAACCUUUACUAUAGCUUGACACUGAACAUUGAGCCUUGAUGUGUAGGAUAGGUGGGAGGCUUUGAAGCGUGGACGCCAGUCUGCGUGGAGCCAACCUUGAAAUACCACCCUUUAAUGUUUGAUGUUCUAACGUUGGCCCCUUACCGGGGUUGCGGACAGUGUCUGGUGGGUAGUUUGACUGGGGCGGUCUCCUCCCAAAGCGUAACGGAGGAGCACGAAGGUUAGCUAAUCCUGGUCGGACAUCAGGAGGUUAGUGCAAUGGCAUAAGCUAGCUUGACUGCGAGCGUGACGGCGCGAGCAGGUGCGAAAGCAGGUCAUAGUGAUCCGGUGGUUCUGAAUGGAAGGGCCAUCGCUCAACGGAUAAAAGGUACUCCGGGGAUAACAGGCUGAUACCGCCCAAGAGUUCAUAUCGACGGCGGUGUUUGGCACCUCGAUGUCGGCUCAUCACAUCCUGGGGCUGAAGUAGGUCCCAAGGGUAUGGCUGUUCGCCAUUUAAAGUGGUACGCGAGCUGGGUUUAGAACGUCGUGAGACAGUUCGGUCCCUAUCUGCCGUGGGCGCUGGAGAAUUGAGGGGGGCUGCUCCUAGUACGAGAGGACCGGAGUGGACGCAUCACUGGUGUUCGGGUUGUCAUGCCAAUGGCACUGCCCGGUAGCUAAAUGCGGAAGAGAUAAGUGCUGAAAGCAUCUAAGCACGAAACUUGCCCCGAGAUGAGUUCUCCCUGAGACUUUAAGUCUCCUGAAGGAACGUUGAAGACGACGACGUUGAUAGGCCGGGUGUGUAAGCGCAGCGAUGCGUUGAGCUAACCGGUACUAAUGAACCGUGAGGCUUAACCUU
This 2900-nucleotide ribosomal RNA is filed under the name Klebsiella pneumoniae UCICRE 7. RNAcentral describes it as "bacterial LSU rRNA". It matches the Rfam family "Bacterial large subunit ribosomal RNA". RNAcentral also lists the same sequence under 1 other name. Lineage: Bacteria; Pseudomonadati; Pseudomonadota; Gammaproteobacteria; Enterobacterales; Enterobacteriaceae. The record is from RNAcentral.